RNAcentral lists this ribosomal RNA (494 nucleotides) under uncultured bacterium. Its description in RNAcentral is "partial 16S ribosomal RNA". It matches the Rfam family "Bacterial small subunit ribosomal RNA", at positions 28 to 523 of the family's 1533-position model. The record is from RNAcentral.
GACGAACGCUGGCGGCGUGCUUAACACAUGCAAGUCGAGCGAUGAAAGCCUUAUGAACUAUUCGUAGUGAUUGAGGCCGGAUUAGCGGCGGACGGGUGAGUAACGCGUGAGCAACCUGCCUUAAACAACGGGAUAGCCUCGGGAAACCGGGAUUACUACCGUAUGAGACCCCGCUUUCACCUGAAGAAGAGGUUAAAGAUUUAUCGGUUUAAGAUGGGCUCGCGUCUGAUUAGCUAGUUGGUGAGAUAAAAGCCCACCAAGGCAACGAUCAGUAACCGGCUUGAGAGAGUGAACGGUCACAUUGGAACUGAGACACGGUCCAAACUCCUACGGGAGGCAGCAGUGGGGAAUAUUGCACAAUGGGGGAAACCCUGAUGCAGCGACGCCGCGUGAGCGAUGAAGGAAUUCGUUUCGUAAAGCUCUGUCCAAGGGGAAGAUAAUGACAGUACCCUUGGAGGAAGCCCCGGCUAAAUACGUGCCAGCCGCCGCAGUAA